AUACGGAGGGUCCAAGCGUUAUCCGGAAUCAUUGGGUUUAAAGGGUCCGCAGGCGGUCAAUUAAGUCAGAGGUGAAAGCCCAUCGCUCAACGAUGGAACUGCCUUUGAUACUGGUUGACUUGAGUUAUACGGAAGUAGAUAGAAUAAGUAGUGUAGCGGUGAAAUGCAUAGAUAUUACUUAGAAUACCGAUUGCGAAGGCAGUCUACUACGUAUAUACUGACGCUGAGGGACGAGAGCGUGGGGAGCGAACAGGAUUAGAUACCCUAGUAGUCC
Molecule: ribosomal RNA, 274 nt
Filed under: uncultured bacterium
Lineage: Bacteria
Description: partial 16S ribosomal RNA
Rfam family: Bacterial small subunit ribosomal RNA
Source: RNAcentral